GGUGGCUCAGUGGUAGAGUGCUUGCCUUGCAUGCAUGAAGCCCUAGGUUCAAUUCCCCAGCACCA
Molecule: transfer RNA, 65 nt
Filed under: Dipodomys ordii (Ord's kangaroo rat)
Lineage: Eukaryota; Metazoa; Chordata; Mammalia; Rodentia; Heteromyidae
Rfam family: tRNA
About the family: Transfer RNA (tRNA) molecules are approximately 80 nucleotides in length. Their secondary structure includes four short double-helical elements and three loops (D, anti-codon, and T loops).
Source: Rfam by way of RNAcentral